RNAcentral lists this ribosomal RNA (399 nucleotides) under uncultured bacterium. Its description in RNAcentral is "partial 16S ribosomal RNA". It matches the Rfam family "Bacterial small subunit ribosomal RNA", at positions 338 to 734 of the family's 1533-position model. The record is from RNAcentral.
CCUACGGGAGGCUGCAGUGAGGAAUAUUGGUCAAUGGUCGAGAGCCUGAACCAGCCAAGCCGCGUGAGGGAUGAAGGUACAGAGUAUCGUAAACCUCUUUUGUCAGGGAACAAAGGCGGGGACGUGUCCCCGAAUGAGUGUACCUGAAGAAAAAGCAUCGGCUAACUCCGUGCCAGCAGCCGCGGUAAUACGGAGGAUGCGAGCGUUAUCCGGGUUUAUUGGGUUUAACGGGUGCGCAGACGGUCAUGUAAGUCAGGGGUCAAAGCCCGGGGCUCAACCCCGGGACUGCGUUUGAAACUGGCAGUCUGGAGUUGCAGAGAAGCAGGCGGAAUGCGUGGUGUAGCGGUGAAAUGCAUAGAUAUUGCGAAGAACACCGAUUGCGAAGGCAGCCUGCUGGAU